GUACAUUUUACUGAACUGCGUCCAGUCAGCAGAUGGACUAGAUGCCUCUUAGGCCGCCCAUUGUGACUCCGUCAAGAAUUCAGCAGAGCAAGUUUGUAUGAAGGUCUGGUUAUUAAAUGGGUACAUAGUUCAAUAGUAAUAUCCUCUAAAACGCUCUGGUGACAAACUUUGCUGCCCUGUUUCCAGUUGUCCACAUGGCUGGAAGAACCUAUUCAAGUAGCUAGCUAACAGCCAUGGAGGAGGGUGAAAGGAUAGCAGCCCCAACUGUCAGUGAGAGAGGAGGCUAUUCUGGAUAGGGCAGGUACUUUUGUGUAGUUCCUGUCCCUAGAAGUGAGGACGGAGAUAAUAGUAACAUAAUAUUCAGUGUGGUGUAAUCUGACUAUAAUGAAGUCUGUUUCUUGUGAGGUUUUCUGUCCUCAGAUAAAGAGCUCUAUGAAAGCCAGUCUACAUAUGAAGAGGUCCCAAUGAAGAGCAGUGGUUCUCAGUCCUGGGGACUCAGAG
This 501-nucleotide long non-coding RNA is filed under the name Salmo salar (Atlantic salmon). RNAcentral's name for it is "lncRNA (ENSSSAG00000087899.1)". The record is from RNAcentral. Lineage: Eukaryota; Metazoa; Chordata; Actinopteri; Salmoniformes; Salmonidae.